UUUCCGUAGGUGAACCUGCGGAAGGAUCAUUAAAGAGAAUAUGCCCUUCGGGGUAGAUCUCCCACCCUUUGUUUAUAUUACCUUUGUUGCUUUGGCAGGCCCGUCUUCGGACCACCGGCUUCGGCUGGUCAGUGCUUGCCAGAGGACCCAAAACUCUUAUCAUUAAUGUCGUCUGAGUACUAUAUAAUAGUUAGAACUUUCAACAACGGAUCUCUUGGUUCUG
RNAcentral lists this unclassified non-coding RNA (223 nucleotides) under plant metagenome. RNAcentral describes it as "partial contains small subunit ribosomal RNA, internal transcribed spacer 1, and 5.8S ribosomal RNA". The record is from RNAcentral.